This 434-nucleotide ribosomal RNA is filed under the name uncultured bacterium. Its description in RNAcentral is "bacterial SSU rRNA". It matches the Rfam family "Bacterial small subunit ribosomal RNA", at positions 33 to 507 of the family's 1533-position model. The record is from RNAcentral.
CAGAACGACGCUGGCGGCAUGCCUAACACAUGCAAGUCGAACGAGACUUCGGUCUAGUGGCGGACGGGUGAGUAACGCGUAGGAACCUGCCAAGCAGUGGGGAAUAACAGCUGGAAACGGCUGCUAAUACCGCAUACGCCCUUCGGGGGAAAGAUUUAUCGCUGUUUGAGGGUCCUGCGUUCGAUUAGCUAGUUGGUGAGGUAACGGCCCACCAAGGCGACGAUCGAUAGCUGGUCUGAGAGGAUGAUCAGCCACACUGGGACUGAGACACGGCCCAGACUCCUACGGGAGGCAGCAGGUGGGGAAUAUUGGACAAUGGGGGAAACCCUGAUCCAGCAAUGCCGCGUGCGUGAAGAAGGCCUUAGGGUUGUAAAGCGCUUUCACCUGUGAUGAUGAUGACAGUAGCAGGAGAAGAAGCCCCGGCUAACUCCGUG